UAGCGACUGUUUAUUAAAAACACAGGACUCUGCUAGGUGGUAACAGGAUGUAUAGAGUCUGACACCUGCCAGGUGCUGGAAGGUCGGAAGGAGAAGUGUUAUAAGCUUUGAAUGGAAGCCCCAGUAAACGGCGGCAGUAACUCUAACUGUCCUCUUUUCUUAUUUAUUUGACUCUAUUUGAAGUAUAUUUCUUGCAUCUUUUUUGUAAUUAUUA
Molecule: non-coding RNA, 214 nt
Filed under: Eucalyptus grandis
Lineage: Eukaryota; Viridiplantae; Streptophyta; Magnoliopsida; Myrtales; Myrtaceae
Description: Bacterial large subunit ribosomal RNA
Rfam family: Bacterial large subunit ribosomal RNA
Source: Rfam by way of RNAcentral